AAAGUCUUCAUGGCCAUAACACUAAAGAAAAGCCGAUAGAAGAAGAGUAGAGAGUCUACACAAGAGAAGUUUACAGCAAACAAUAAUACACAAAGAAGGCAGCUUUAUCGUCGGUGAAAACUUACAUUCCUGAAGGUAAUUCGGAGAUUACUCGAUUCAAACACCAAUAAUAGUUCACAAAAGAAAGAAGCAGAAAAGGCAAACCAACUUCUUGUAAUAUGGCGUCCAAGACUGACUGCUCAAAACUCAGGCCUUUCAAGGGGAAAUGAAAGAUUCGUUUCGUCUGCUAAAAAUUUC
RNAcentral lists this long non-coding RNA (297 nucleotides) under Gossypium barbadense (sea-island cotton). RNAcentral describes it as "long non-coding RNA (GBAR_LNC003384)". The record is from RNAcentral. Lineage: Eukaryota; Viridiplantae; Streptophyta; Magnoliopsida; Malvales; Malvaceae.